AUCACUAAGCCAUGCGAGUCAUUGUAGCAAUACAAGGCAGACGGCUCAGUAACGCGUAGUCAACCUACCCUAUGGACGGGAAUAACCUCGGGAAACUGAGUAUAAUGCCCGAUAGAACACUAUACCUGGAAUGGUUUGUGUUUCAAAUGAUUUAUUGCCAUAGGAUGGGACUGCGGCCUAUCAGUUUGUUGGUGAGGUAAUGGCCCACCAAGACUAUUACAGGUGCGGGCUCUGAGAGGAGUGGCCCGGAGAUGGGUACUGAGACACGGACCCAGGUCCUAUGGGGCGCAGCAGGCGAGAAAACUUUGCAAUGUGCGAAAGCACGACAAGGUUAAUCCGAGUGGUUUCUGCUAAAGGAACCUUUUGUUAGUCCUAGAAGCACUAACGAAUAAGGGGUGGGCAAGUUCUGGUGUCAGCCGCCGCGGUAAAACCAGCACCUCAAGUGGUCAGGAUGAUUAUUGGGCCUAAAGCAUCCGUAGCCGGCUCAGUAAGUUUUCGGUUAAAUCUGUACGCUUAACGUACAGGCUGCCGGGAAUACUGCAGAGCUAGGGAGUGGGAGAGGUAGACGGUACUCGGGAGGAAGUGGUAAAAUGCUUUGAUCUUUCGAUGACCACCUGUGGCGAAGGCGGUCUACCAGAACACGUCCGACGGUGAGGGAUGAAAGCUGGGGGAGCAAACCGGAUUAGAUACCCGGGUAGUCCCAGCUGUAAACUAUGCAAACUCAGUGAUGCAUUGGCUUGUGGCCAAUGCAGUGUUGCAGGGAAGCCGUUAAGUUUGCCGCCUGGGAAGUACGUACGCAAGUAUGAAACUUAAAGGAAUUGGCGGGGGAGCACCACAAGGGGUGAAGCCUGCGGUCCAAUUGGAUUCAACGCC
Molecule: ribosomal RNA, 873 nt
Filed under: uncultured crenarchaeote
Lineage: Archaea; Thermoproteati; Thermoproteota
Description: bacterial SSU rRNA
Rfam family: Archaeal small subunit ribosomal RNA
Source: RNAcentral